RNAcentral lists this ribosomal RNA (801 nucleotides) under Microdochium seminicola. Its description in RNAcentral is "partial large subunit ribosomal RNA". It matches the Rfam family "Eukaryotic large subunit ribosomal RNA", at positions 90 to 918 of the family's 3401-position model. Lineage: Eukaryota; Fungi; Ascomycota; Sordariomycetes; Xylariales; Microdochiaceae. The record is from RNAcentral.
CGAGUGAAGCGGCAACAGCUCAAAUUUGAAAUCUGGCCCUCGGGUCCGAGUUGUAAUUUGUAGAGGAUGAUUUUGGUUAGGUACCUUCCGAGUUCCUUGGAACAGGACGCCUUAGAGGGUGAGAGCCCCGUACGGUUGGAUGCCGAGCCUCUGUAAAUCUCCUUCGACGAGUCGAGUAGUUUGGGAAUGCUGCUCUAAAUGGGAGGUAAAUUUCUUCUAAAGCUAAAUACCGGCCAGAGACCGAUAGCGCACAAGUAGAGUGAUCGAAAGAUGAAAAGCACUUUGAAAAGAGGGUUAAAUAGUACGUGAAAUUGUUGAAAGGGAAGGGCUUGUGACCAGACCUUUGCCUUGCGGAUCAUCCGGUGUUCUCACCGGUGCACUCCGCUUGGUUGAGGCCAGCAUCAGUUUCGGCGGCGGGAUAAAGACUUCAGGAACGUGACUCCCCCGGGAGUGUUAUAGCCUGCUGUGUAAUACCGCCGCUGGGACUGAGGACCGCGCUUCGGCUAGGAUGCUGGCAUAAUGGUCAUCAGCCACCCGUCUUGAAACACGGACCAAGGAGUCGAACAUUUAUGCGAGUUUUUGGGUGUUAAACCCUCAAGCGUAAUGAAAGUGAACGGAGGUGAGAGCCCUUACGGGUGCAUCAUCGACCGAUCCUGAUGUCUUCGGAUGGAUUUGAGUAAGAGCAUAACUGUUCGGACCCGAAAGAUGGUGAACUAUGCGUGGAUAGGGUGAAGCCAGAGGAAACUCUGGUGGAGGCUCGCAGCGGUUCUGACGUGCAAAUCGAUCGUCAAAUCUGCGCAU